GACGAACGCUGGCGGCGUGCUUAACACAUGCAAGUCGAACGGAAAGGCCCUGCUUGCAGGGUGCUCGAGUGGCGAACGGGUGAGUAACACGUGGGUGAUCUGCCCCUUACUUUGGGAUAAGCCUGGGAAACUGGGUCUAAUACUGGAUAGGACCAUGCUGUAGGUGGUGUGGUGGAAAGAUUAGUUUCGGUAAGGGAUGAGCUCGCGGCCUAUCAGCUUGUUGGUGGGGUAAUGGCCUACCAAGGCGUCGACGGGUAGCCGGCCUGACAGGGUGGACGGCCACAUUGGGACUGAGAUACGGCCCAGACUCCUACGGGAGGCAGCAGUGGGGAAUAUUGCACAAUGGGCGCAAGCCUGAUGCAGCGACGCCGCGUGGGGGAUGACGGCCUUCGGGUUGUAAACUCCUUUCAGCCAUGACGAAGCCCUUGUGGUGACGGUAGUGGUAGAAGAAGCACCGGCUAACUACGUG
This 469-nucleotide ribosomal RNA is filed under the name uncultured bacterium. RNAcentral's name for it is "partial 16S ribosomal RNA". It matches the Rfam family "Bacterial small subunit ribosomal RNA", at positions 28 to 507 of the family's 1533-position model. The record is from RNAcentral.